CAUCGCCUCUGCCCCCCACUCUCCCCACCCCCGGCAGAACUGUAGGGACUGGUCCUUGCUCUGCCUCAACUUUCCCUGCUGCGCCUGCCCCACGCGGCACCCGAUCCGCCGCGCCCUCGCUGGGCGCCCUCCAGAGGGACACGUCCUCCUCUGGGCCCCUUACCUCGCACCGACAACUCCGGGCAGGGACUGGAGCUGACCGAGGUGGCGGCGGCGGCGGCGGCUGAGCCUGCACCCGGGCUCGCUCUCAUGGUUGGUGCUCCUCAUCCGACACAAAAGAGGUAGCUUGCUGGCUUUGUCCUUUCCAAAUCCCAGGGAGAACUUAUUUUGCCCCCGAAAUGGCCAACUUGUGUGCGCCGCUUCCUGUCACAGUGCCCUCUGCCCCCGCCCCCUCCCGGCUGCUCGCUGGACCACGGCCCGGUGGCAGAGCAUCCAGGCCUCCGAGUCAGUGAGGAGUGGGGAAAGGGAGAGGGGGAGGAGAAGUGAGGGGGGAGGUUGGGAAAAGGGGGCACCCAGUGGUCUUCCGCGGAAGAGAGGAGGGCAGUUCACAGCUGAAUCUUUCUCCUCUUUACAGGCAAAGCCACUUAGGGCGCGGAAGCAACUUUCCUUCACCUUGGCCAGGCUGAAACCAUCGCAUCUAAUUGGGACUCUCGGCAGAGGCACGGACCUUCUGGCAUUCUCUCCUCAUUCUCUCUUUCUCCUUUUCUCCCUCUCUCGUUCUCCUUUUCCCUUUUCCCCUCCCCCUCCCUCCCUCCCUUUAUAGGGGUGUAUCCGCAGAGUCUUCAGUGAGCCAGGGUACCUAGACGAGAGGAUUAUUAUACAGAAAGGCAGGGCGGUUUUACUGGCUGCUUCGUCUCACUCUGUUGAAAUCCUUAGGCAACGCAUGCAAAGGACCCUUUCCGGUUAAUGCCCUGACUUCUGGUAUAAUGCCUUUUCAUUUUGGCCCAUAAAGCACACCAUCCUUCAUUCAGAAAUAACACCGAGAGUUGAUGUGUUGCCAUCAUUAAUUACAGCAGAAAAAUACAAAAUGCAGGAGGUUCUGUGUUGAUUGGUCUCCCAGAAGGCUGAAAGAAAAGGAGGCUGCACUCCCACAUAUGACAGUGAAGGGAGAAAUUUUUAUUUGGGAAGAAUCUGAAUGUCAACGCACCAGCCUUGAAUAAUACCUAAGGGGAUAGAGAAGAACAAGCCCCACAGGCAAGAUAUGUAGGGGCAAUGGUGAGAAAAGAAUCAAAUUGUUUUUGUGGUGCUUUAUUAGCCUCAUUUAUUAGGUGUAUAAAUGUUCUGAUCAGUACUUUGGAUUCUUUUGCGUUUUUUCCCCUGAUUCUUACAAAGGAAAACAAAAAAGAAUAGCCCUUGGAUAUUUACUAUGUGUUUUGCUUUUGUCCCACAUAUUGUACAAUGAACAGCUG
This 1409-nucleotide long non-coding RNA is filed under the name Equus asinus (donkey). RNAcentral describes it as "lncRNA (ENSEASG00005038711.1)". Lineage: Eukaryota; Metazoa; Chordata; Mammalia; Perissodactyla; Equidae. The record is from RNAcentral.